This 490-nucleotide ribosomal RNA is filed under the name uncultured bacterium. Its description in RNAcentral is "partial 16S ribosomal RNA". It matches the Rfam family "Bacterial small subunit ribosomal RNA", at positions 30 to 507 of the family's 1533-position model. The record is from RNAcentral.
AUUGAACGCUGGCGGCAGGCCUAACACAUGCAAGUCGAACGGUAACAGGAAGAAGCUUGCUUCUUUGCUGACGAGUGGCGGACGGGUGAGUAAUGUCUGGGAAACUGCCUGAUGGAGGGGGAUAACUACUGGAAACGGUAGCUAAUACCGCAUAACGUCGCAAGACCAAAGAGGGGGACCUUCGGGCCUCUUGCCAUCGGAUGUGCCCAGAUGGGAUUAGCUAGUAGGUGGGGUAACGGCUCACCUAGGCGACGAUCCCUAGCUGGUCUGAGAGGAUGACCAGCCACACUGGAACUGAGACACGGUCCAGACGCCUACGGGAGGCAGCAGUGGGGAAUAUUGCACAAUGGGCGCAAGCCUGAUGCAGCCAGGCCGCGUGUAUGAAGAAGGCCUUCGGGUUGUAAAGUACUUUCAGCGGGGAGGAAGGGAGUAAAGUUAAGACCUUUGCUCAUUGACGUUACCCGCAGAAGAAGCACCGGCUAACUCCGUG